RNAcentral lists this ribosomal RNA (505 nucleotides) under uncultured bacterium. RNAcentral's name for it is "partial 16S ribosomal RNA". It matches the Rfam family "Bacterial small subunit ribosomal RNA", at positions 28 to 507 of the family's 1533-position model. The record is from RNAcentral.
GACGAACGCUGGCGGCGUGCCUAAUACAUGCAAGUAGAACGCACAGUUUAUACCGUAGCUUGCUACACCAUAAACUGUGAGUUGCGAACGUGUGAGUAACGCGUAGGUAACCUGCCUGGUAUCGGGGGAUAACUAUUGGAAACGAUAGCUAAUACCGCAUUAUAUUGAUUAUUCCAUGAUAAUUGAUUGAAAGAUGCUAUUGCAUCACUACCAGAUCGACCUGCGUUGUAUUAGCUAGUAGGUGAGGUAACGGCUCACCUAGGCGACGAUACAUAGCCGACCUGAGAGGGUGAUCGGGCACACUGGGACUGAGACACGGCCCAGACUCAUACGGGAGGCAGCAGUAGGGAAUCUUCGGCAAUGGACGAAAGUCUGACCGAGCAACGCCGCGUGAGUGAAGAAGGGUUUCGGAUCGUAAAGCUCUGUUGUAAGAGAAGAACGGGUGUGAGAGUGGAAAGUUCACACUGUGACGGUAUCUUACCAGAAAGGGACGGCUAACUACGUG